Molecule: long non-coding RNA, 4318 nt
Filed under: Olea europaea subsp. europaea
Lineage: Eukaryota; Viridiplantae; Streptophyta; Magnoliopsida; Lamiales; Oleaceae
Source: RNAcentral
AAAUAUGAUAUAAUAGCAUUUUUUAACAAGUUUCCGGGCGCUUCUACCCUAAGAAUUUGAGUUCAUCAACAAUGCUAAUCUUAAAUCCUUCCCUGCGUUAAUUUCUCCUCAUCUCCAUCUCUUGUUUACGUGGUCCAAGGGAUUUUGUGAAUUUCUCUACCUCUCUAUCUCUCUUUCGGUAUGGGGAUUUUGUGAAUCCUUGCUUAAUUUCUCAUCAGCUCUAUCUCUCUUUCAGUCUGGAGGAUUUUGUGAAUUUCUCCGCCUCUGCAUCUUUCUGUUGGGCUAGGUAAUUUUGUUUCACAAACUUCUCCCCGAGUAACAGUGAAUUCAUCCCAAAUUUCCAUAUCUCAUUGUUGAUUCUGUUAUUUCUCUUUGUUCUGCAGAUUUUAUUUUUUCAAUUGUGGAAAGGAAGUGUUGACGGAUAUAUGGUUUGAAUCAGGAAAUCGGUGGAAAUUGUUUCUUCUUCACAUCCUUGGGAAGGUAUUUCUUCUUUUUCUGGUUUUGCAACUCUGGGCAGUAAACUCGAAUUUAUGUAAGUUUUUAGGCUGAGUGCUAUUUGAAACCAUAUUCUGCCAUUUUAAUAUGUUGUGGUAUAUGAAGUUUUCUUUCUAUAGUCACAAAAUUUGUUCCCAUCUCAUUACAUACAGAGACUUAAGAAAAUGUUUAAGCGCCGAAAAGUAUGUGAUUUCAUUUGACUAAUUAGCCAGAAGGUGAAGAAUAAAAUCUGGUGAUUCAAAUUGUAUUUUUCUUUGGACAGCAGUGUUUGAGUCGUUUAAUAGUUAUAUAAUUGAUCACUUCUCACAUAGGCUGUCUUCAAAUAAUCAACCCUGUUUUUCAUGUGAAAAAGAAAAUCUGGUGAUUGAUUUCAUGACAAACAUUUUUCUUUGAACUGUAGUGUUUGAGUUGUUUAAUAGUUACAUAAUUGAUCACUUCUCAAGGUGCACAGAAAUUAUAAAGUACUGUUAAUUUUAUGUCAAUUGCGUUGGACACAAAGAGAAUCUCAGUGGCUGGUUUUUUUUUUUUUUUUUUUUUUUAGUCAAAAUUUCACAAUAUAUAAGUCCCUGAAAAACGAUGUUGCUCCGCAGCCCACAACCUGUUCGAUCAACAUUACGUGUUUUCGAGUCGACUCCUCUUUAUAGGACACAAAAAAUAGAAUUUAUGCUUUCUAACAUAAGUCCAGUAUCAGGGUCAUAGUCGAAACAGAAAGUUCAUCCACCGUCACUCUACUUGGAUUUCAUAAAUUGAAGCUUUCAUAAUAUCUUUGUGGAAUGCCAUCAGUUUCAUACUUGGAAUCAGCGUAUAGUUUGAUUUGGGUGUUGGUCAAAAUUUAAACAAUCUUUAGGUUAAUAUUUUCAAUUAUAGAAAUCGCAUCACAUAGGCAUAAUCAGCAUGUUACAAUAAGAUAGAUAAUUGUCUAUAUAGUUUGCAGUCUGUCAGAUCAAUUCGAGAUAAGAGUUUAUUCUUCUUAUCGAAUAUAUGAUUCAUAAAUAAAAAAUUUCAUGCUCAAAACAAUUGGGUUAAAUCUUCCCGCACUUGCUUAUUUCAUACUGUUGGAAUUGCACAUUGGACAAAAGUUAAAAUGGCUUAAGAGUUGAACGCAUUCCAUGAUUUUUCUAGAAUUCUUAACUAAAUUGUAGUGGAUUAUCAACUGCACCACAAAGAAGAAUGCAAGAUCUAUUUUUUAAAUUACUAGUGCCUUUGCUUCACAACUCGAAGAACCAAGAGACCAAAACUAAAUCAUCUAAUUGAAAGUUCAACCUACAAUACAUGGUUGAUUUCGAGAAGGAUAUGAAGUCCACAAAUAAAUAAGCAAAGAGGGUUUUUGCCCACUACUCUAUUUUGGCACUGGGAGGUGAUCAAAUUUCAUUAAGAAAAAACUCUUUGUAUUUGAAGUAACAGUAUCUGUGAAUAUUUGGUCAAGUGUUAUUUUAGAAGUUUCCUUAGAUUUUGUCUUUGUUGUGUUGUGCUAAAUAUUGCUGAAUAUAAGAUUAAAAUGUUCCAUUUCAAAUAUAGGUAUACUCAUAUAUACUACUAAGAUAAUAUUUGGGUUCCCACAAAUUAUAGAUAAAGAAUGGGUACGUCUUAACAGGUAAUUUGUACUUUGUCAUGUGGUUUAUAUACUUUAUAUUUUAAGAUAAUAUCUUAGAACGUUGUCUUUUAAAAUUGUUAGGGCCUCACAAGAGUACAUAAAAGUUUCGAAAAAUUUUGUCAUUACUGCUCAUCAUAAUUUAGGCAAACCAGAUAAAAUUUUAUGUCAUUGUAAAGGUUGUCGAAACUUAAGCCAUCAAUACGUAGAUAUCGUUCACGAGUAUCUGGUCAUAAGAGGAAUGGAUCCGACUUACACAAAUUGGUUUCACCAUGGAGAAAGACUAAUUAGUAAUGUUGAUACUACAAGUAAGACGGAAAUAUUCAACUUGUUUGAAGCUAUACAUACGAAUGAAGAACAUAACAAGAAAGUUUUUGAAGAGAAUUUGGAUGAUGACAUUAGUUGAUUGGUGAAGGAUGCUGAAACUCCGUUGUAUCCAGGAAAUGAAAAAUACACAAAGCUAUCUUUUAUUGUGACCUUAUAUAAGCUUAAAACUAUAAAUGGUUGGUCAGAUAAUAGCUUUACAGAACUUCUAAACAUAUUACAUGAUAUGUUACCUGAAGUUAAUAUAAUUCCUACACCCACAUUAUGUGUAAGAAAAUUUCUUAAGAUAUUGAAUUUAGGAUAUGAGAAGAUUCAUGCAUGUAUCAAUAAUUGCUGUUUGUUUAAAAAUGAUAAAAAAGAACUAGAUAGCUGUCCAAAAUGUGGUUCUUCGAGAUGGAAGGCCGAUAAACAGACACGAAAGUGUAAAAAUUGUGUACCUGCCAAAGUCUUAAAAUACUUUCCUAUAAAACCUAGAUUCUAGAGGAUGAUUAGUACACCAAAGAUGACUGAAUAAUUAAUAUGACAUUCAACCAAUCAGAGUGUUGAUGGUAAAAUGCGUCAUCCAAUGGAUUCUCCAUCUUGGGCUUUAAUUGACAACAACUGACAAAAGUUUGCAAAUAAUCCACACAAUCUACCACAAGUGAUAGAAGGAUAUGCUAACAUGGGAAAAGAGAUAAAUCUUUUUUAACUUACCAUAUUGAGAGGUAAGAUUUUGACAUUCUCCAACUCUUAUUCAAUUUCUUUCAAUUAUUUGAAUAUACUUUCGUAUGAAACUAACAAAAUCGUUUUGCUUUGUUAUAUUAUUAGGUGCUACUGUUAUGUCAUAAUUUGGAUGUAAUGCACAUUGAGAAAAAUGUAUGUGAAAGCAUUGUUGGUACAUUGUUAGACAUAAAUGGUAAAACAAAAGAUGGAUUAAAUGCUCGUAAGGAUUUACAAGACAUGAGAAUUAGAAAAGAGUUACAUCCAAAGGAUCGAGGUAAUAGAAUAUACCUUCCUCCUCCUCCACAUACGUUGUCAAGGUUGGAGAAACAAACAUUUUGUAGGAGGUUGUUUAACUUAAAAUUACCUGAUGGGUACAGUUCACAUAUAGCCAUUUGUAUAUCAGUAGAUAAAUGCAAAAUUAUUGGCCUCAAGUCACAUAAUUGUCAUGUCUUCAUACAACAACUUUUGGCUGUAGCAUUAAGGUGAUUACUUCCAAAAUGACCAACACAUGCAAUUUUUAGCCUAUGUACAUUCUUCAACGGAUUAGGCCAACGUGUUGUUGAUAGGGAGAAAAUAGCAAUGUUAGAAGAUGACGUAGUUGAAACCUUAUGCAGUCUUGAAAGAUUCUUUUCUCUUGCAUUUUUUUGACAUCAUGAUACAUUUGGGAAGAGAAGUACGAUUAUGUGGUCCAGUUCACUAUCGUUGGAUGUAUCCUUUUGAGAUGUGAGAAAUUCACAAUUACUUAGAUAAAUUUACACACAUAAUUUCAUUCUUAGUACUAAUUCGUUUACUUUGUUUAAUUAUAGACAUAUGAAGAUAUUAAAAGGACAUGUGAGAAAUCGCGCAGGAUCCGAAGGUUGCAUAGUUGAAUUUUAUCUUGCAGAUGAGUGCAUGAAUUUUUGUACCGAGCUUAUGAAAUAAGUACGAGAAAUUGAUCAUCGAGAGGAGCACAACCAAGAUUAUGUUAGCAAUGAAAUUACUGAAGGACGUCCCAUUUCUGCUCCAAAUUUUAUUAUACUAAGUAAUGAAAUUUUAGAGAUAGCACAUCAUUAUGUAUUAUUCAAUACAUCUUAUGUGGAACCGUAUUUGGAGUAAGUCAUCCAAAUUUAUAUUAAUAAGUAUAGAACAUGUAUAUAAAUUUGUAAUCUCGGAUAACUUGCUUAUUAUUAGAAUGCAUGAAAAGGAGCUGAAGCGAAACAAUAGAAG